Molecule: ribosomal RNA, 730 nt
Filed under: uncultured bacterium
Lineage: Bacteria
Description: bacterial SSU rRNA
Rfam family: Bacterial small subunit ribosomal RNA
Source: RNAcentral
AACAGGAUUAGAUACCCUGGUAGUCCACGCCGUAAACGAUGUCGACUUGGAGGUUGUGCCCUUGAGGCGUGGCUUCCGGAGCUAACGCGUUAAGUCGACCGCCUGGGGAGUACGGCCGCAAGGUUAAAACUCAAAUGAAUUGACGGGGGCCCGCACAAGCGGUGGAGCAUGUGGUUUAAUUCGAUGCAACGCGAAGAACCUUACCUGGUCUUGACAUCCACGGAAGUUUUCAGAGAUGAGAAUGUGCCUUCGGGAACCGUGAGACAGGUGCUGCAUGGCUGUCGUCAGCUCGUGUUGUGAAAUGUUGGGUUAAGUCCCGCAACGAGCGCAACCCUUAUCCUUUGUUGCCAGCGGUCCGGCCGGGAACUCAAAGGAGACUGCCAGUGAUAAACUGGAGGAAGGUGGGGAUGACGUCAAGUCAUCAUGGCCCUUACGACCAGGGCUACACACGUGCUACAAUGGCGCAUACAAAGAGAAGCGACCUCGCGAGAGCAAGCGGACCUCAUAAAGCGCGUCGUAGUCCGGAUUGGAGUCUGCAACUCGACUCCAUGAAGUCGGAAUCGCUAGUAAUCGUGGAUCAGAAUGCCACGGUGAAUACGUUCCCGGGCCUUGUACACACCGCCCGUCACACCAUAGGAGUGGGUUGCAAAAGAAGUAGGUAGCUUAACCUUCGGGAGGGCGCUUACCACUUUGUGAUUCAUGACUGGGGUGAAGUCGUAACAAGGUAACC